AUAUUGGGCCAGCGUCUGACAAAGGGAAGCACAGAAAGAUAGGGAUAAAAAAAUACUUUGCUAUUUCUUUGCUGUCCAGUUUUAUGAUGAAGAUGUAACAAUAAAUCUUUAGUAAGCUCAGCUGCAUUUGUAGAAGCUCGCAAUUCACUGUUUACUACUAUUAAUGAGAAUAUUUGAAACCAUUUAUUUUGAAAGAUGCAGACUUUCAGGAGGAACAUGAUGUCUACCCGCUGGGACCAUGAUGCAGCCCAGAAACACCUGAUGCUAGCAGAGAAGCUCAGGAAGGGAGGGUGCUUUGGGGAGGCCUAUCAGAAGAGGAAGGAAGAGGGGAAGUAGUGAAAAAGAAAGCACAGGUUUGUCUUAGGUGUUGGUGUGGAGACUGGGGGCUGAAGGUUACAGAAAGUUUGGACGUUUCUUCUUGGCUGUUUCUGAAGAUGGAGGCGGGGGCUGCUUUAAGCUCCUCGUUUUUCCAAGAGGAUCCCACAGCAGCUGUACAGACUCUGCUCCUCCAGGCUCCAUUUCAGGUCAGUUGGGCCCUGCCCAGGAGUUAGGCCUGUUCCCUGAGUGACAGCCUGGGAUAUUUUAGGACCGAUAUACAACGCGCGAGGGAACA
RNAcentral lists this long non-coding RNA (613 nucleotides) under Anser brachyrhynchus (Pink-footed goose). RNAcentral's name for it is "lncRNA (ENSABRG00000005121.1)". Lineage: Eukaryota; Metazoa; Chordata; Aves; Anseriformes; Anatidae. The record is from RNAcentral.